RNAcentral lists this long non-coding RNA (350 nucleotides) under Mytilus galloprovincialis (Mediterranean mussel). The record is from RNAcentral. Lineage: Eukaryota; Metazoa; Mollusca; Bivalvia; Mytilida; Mytilidae.
CAACAGGACAAAACGGCCACCACACAUAAAACUAGUGAACACGGCCAUUACACAUGCAACAAGAGAAAAUAGCAAUUACACAUCAAACAAGAGAAUCAGCCAUUAGACAUAAAACAGGUGAUAACGGCCAUUACACAUAGAACAAAAAAAUACGGCCAUUACACAUAAAACAACAGAAUACAGGCCUUACACAUGCAACGGAUGAAAACGGCCAUUAGACAUCAACCAUGAAAAUACGGCCUUUCACUCAAAAAGAGAAUACGACCAUUACACAUGUAACAGGAGAAAACGGCCAGUACACAUGAAAACAAGAAGAAACUGCAAUUACACAUAACACAAGAAGAAACAAC